AGAGUUGAUCCUGGCUUAGGACGAACGCUGGCGGCGUGCUUCAUACAUGCAAGUCGAACGAGAAAUUCACUUCGGUGAAUGGAAAGUGGCGGACGGGUGAGUAAUGUGUAGAGAAUCUGCCCUGGAGUGGGGGACAACAGAGGGAAACUUCUGCUAAUACCCCAUAUGCGCGUAGUUGCGAUACUAUUCGUGAAAGAUUUAUUGCUCCAGGAUGAGUCUGCAUCUGAUUAGCUAGUUGGGGGUGUAAUGGACCACCAAGGCGACGAUCAGUAGCUGGUUUGAGAGGAUGAUCAGCCACAAUGGGACUGAGACACGGCCCAUACUCCUACGGGAGGCAGCAGUAGGGAAUUUUGCGCAAUGGGCGAAAGCCUGACGCAGCCAACGCCGCGUGAUCGUAGAAGCCCUUCGGGGUGUAAAGAUCUGUCAGUAGGGACGAACAAUGACUGUACCUACAGAGGAAGCACCGGCUAACUCCGUGCCAGCCGCUGC
Molecule: ribosomal RNA, 489 nt
Filed under: uncultured bacterium
Lineage: Bacteria
Description: bacterial SSU rRNA
Rfam family: Bacterial small subunit ribosomal RNA
Source: RNAcentral